UACUGUAAGGACCAGAUUUUGUCAUCAGUCGACUGAAGUAUCAUGUAGUUGACCGCUUUUGAAAUUGUCCUUUGAGAUUUCGACAUUUUCAAUCUUAGUUCUCUCUUCCCAAUCUAAGCGUUCUACUCCCGGAUGUGACGAGCCGAUUCCCUAAGCUAAGUUUCUCCAUGACUCUCUCUUUUCUCUCUUCCCGUUUCCGUUUGGUCCCGUCUUUCUCUGUUUCAUCUGUGUCUCUCUCCCUCGCAGAACCGUUGAGUUCGACUCUGCCAAGCUGGGCUAUUUCUUGGAGUAGCAAGACAGCGGUAGCAUUAAUGUCGUGGCCGGCAAAGUCCUCAGCUCCAACUUCAUAACUUCGAUCAAACUUGACCCUAGUCUACAGCUCCUAAGCAGAUUCGAGCUUCACGAUCAAUGGGGCGAAAGAGAAGGCUAGAUUACGGAGGUGAAAGCUUUGGUGGUUGAUGGGCUUGCCCAAAUAAUAGAGCUAAGGAAGACGGUGGCGGUUGGGCUCGCUCAAUCCAAGGAAAGGCAGAGGAGUCAAGAACGGGCAGUCAAAUUGUUGAUGCACAAGAUUGAUAGCUUGGGCAUGAAGAAAUGUGAAUGACGGAAAUUAGGCAAUGGCGAUGCACCCUGAUGAAUAUGUAUGGUAUAUGAUGCUGAGGAAGGUCUUCUGACUUUGCCUUGUGAACAAGUGUAAUAAUUUUUUAAAUUAGGAACAUGAUUAGUGGCUUAAUUAUGCACAUAGAGUUUGUUCUUUUGAUUUAUUCAGUAAAACAGUGAUGACCACAUCGACCUUUGGAUGGUUUUUCAAACCUCAACCACUAUUGUAAUCUCGUUUUGGGAUAUUACGUAAACUUAUUUGAGCGAGUA
Molecule: non-coding RNA, 867 nt
Organism: Punica granatum (pomegranate)
Lineage: Eukaryota; Viridiplantae; Streptophyta; Magnoliopsida; Myrtales; Lythraceae
Source: RefSeq, a predicted model, not a curated record